CAAAAUUAAAUUUUAGGAAAGAUGCAUGUACUAGUUAUAUCAUUGCCUUUGGCUAUAUUAGGAGUGAUACUAUUAGCUCUUCUUUGUUACUUCUUUGGUAGAUCAAGGGGUAGAUGGUGAGAAUGGAGGAAAGUUUUUCUAUGGAAAAUAAUUUUCUAUCUUGAUGUGAAAUAGGGUGAGGUUCGUAUAGCAUUUCUUUAAAUUAAAGAGUAUAUAUAUAGUCUAUUGUAGAGAGUUUUUCUUGGUUUUUCAUUCGGUAUUCGUGUCCGCAUUGAAGCUCCGACUAAUUUAAAUCACGCGUUGCAGGCCCAUUAAUAGAUCAAGGAGUUGAUGAUGAUUGUGUUUGAUCAUUCGAAUUAUGGCUCCUCUAAGUUCUUGUUCUAUGUAAUAGAACCCAAAAAAAAAAAAAGAAUGAAUGAAACUGUUUCAAUCAAAAAUAACCUCUCUAUCUCUUUUAUCCUCUAUAAUAAUAGAGUAAGGUUCACAUACACUUUGUUACUUCUUUGGAGGUGAUAUAAGUAUUCAAAAUAUGAUUUAUUAUGGCUCCUCCAAGUUCAUGUAUAUCUUAUUUAUUUCUUGAUUUUGUACUUUUUAAAAUAAUAAAUUUGUAUCAUAUGAUAUUGUUGUGUCUUGCCGAAUGGAUACAUAUACACUGUUAUUUAUAUAAAUUGUUGAAUUUCCU
RNAcentral lists this long non-coding RNA (682 nucleotides) under Capsicum annuum. Its description in RNAcentral is "long non-coding RNA (CANN_LNC014971)". Lineage: Eukaryota; Viridiplantae; Streptophyta; Magnoliopsida; Solanales; Solanaceae. The record is from RNAcentral.